This 490-nucleotide ribosomal RNA is filed under the name uncultured bacterium. RNAcentral's name for it is "partial 16S ribosomal RNA". It matches the Rfam family "Bacterial small subunit ribosomal RNA", at positions 30 to 507 of the family's 1533-position model. The record is from RNAcentral.
AUUGAACGCUGGCGGCAGGCCUAACACAUGCAAGUCGAACGGUAACAGGAAACAGCUUGCUGUUUCGCUGACGAGUGGCGGACGGGUGAGUAAUGUCUGGGAAACUGCCUGAUGGAGGGGGAUAACUACUGGAAACGGUAGCUAAUACCGCAUAACGUCGCAAGACCAAAGAGGGGGACCUUCGGGCCUCUUGCCAUCAGAUGUGCCCAGAUGGGAUUAGCUAGUAGGUGGGGUAGCGGCUCACCUAGGCGACGAUCCCUAGCUGGUCUGAGAGGAUGACCAGCCACACUGGAACUGAGACACGGUCCAGACUCCUACGGGAGGCAGCAGUGGGGAAUAUUGCACAAUGGGCGCAAGCCUGAUGCAGCCAUGCCGCGUGUAUGAAGAAGGCCUUCGGGUUGUAAAGUACUUUCAGCGGGGAGGAAGGGAGUAAAGUUAAUACCUUUGCUCAUUGACGUUACCCGCAGAAGAAGCACCGGCUAACUCCGUG